Molecule: ribosomal RNA, 497 nt
Filed under: uncultured bacterium
Lineage: Bacteria
Description: partial 16S ribosomal RNA
Rfam family: Bacterial small subunit ribosomal RNA
Source: RNAcentral
GAUGAACGCUGGCGGCGUGCCUAAUACAUGCAAGUCGAGCGAACAGAUGAGGAGUUUGCUCCUCUGACGUUAGCGGCGGACGGGUGAGUAACACGUGGAUAACCUACCUAUAAGACUGGGAUAACUUCGGGAACCCGGAGCUAAUACCGGAUAAUAUAUUGAACCGCAUGGUUCAAUAGGGAAAAACGGUUUUGCUGUUACUUAUAGAUGGAUCCGCGCCGCAUUAGCUAGUUGGUAAGGUAACGGCUUACCAAGGCAACGAUGCGUAGCCGACCUGAGAGGGUGAUCGGCCACACUGGAACUGAGACACGGUCCAGACUCCUACGGGAGGCAGCAGUAGGGAAUCUUCCGCAAUGGGCGAAAGCCUGACGGAGCAACGCCGCGUGAGUGAUGAAGGUCUUCGGAUCGUAAAACUCUGUUAUUAGGGAAGAACAAAUGUGUAAGUAACUAUGCACAUCUUGACGGUACCUAAUCAGAAAGCCACGGCUAACUACGUG